CUGGCUCAGGAUGAACGCUAGCGACAGGCUAACACAUGCAAGUCGAGGGGCAGCAUAAAAGUAGCAAUACUUGGUGGCGACCGGCGCACGGGUGAGUAACGCGUAUGCAACCUACCUAUCAGAGGGGAAUAACCCGGCGAAAGUCGGACUAAUACCGCAUAAAACAGGGGCACCGCAUGGUGAUAUUUGUUAAAGAAAUUCGCUGAUAGAUGGGCAUGCGUUCCAUUAGGUAGUUGGUGAGGUAACGGCUCACCAAGCCGACGAUGGAUAGGGGAACUGAGAGGUUGGUCCCCCACACUGGUACUGAGACACGGACCAGACUCCUACGGGAGGCAGCAGUGAGGAAUAUUGGUCAAUGGGCGGGAGCCUGAACCAGCCAAGUCGCGUGAAGGAAGAAGGAUCUAUGGUUCGUAAACUUCUUUUGCAGGGGAAUAAAGUGCAGGACGUGUCCUGUUUUGUAUGUACCCUGAGAAUAAGGAUCGGCUAACUCCGUGCCAGCCGCCGC
This 505-nucleotide ribosomal RNA is filed under the name uncultured bacterium. RNAcentral's name for it is "bacterial SSU rRNA". It matches the Rfam family "Bacterial small subunit ribosomal RNA", at positions 19 to 518 of the family's 1533-position model. The record is from RNAcentral.